Molecule: ribosomal RNA, 354 nt
Filed under: uncultured bacterium
Lineage: Bacteria
Description: bacterial SSU rRNA
Rfam family: Bacterial small subunit ribosomal RNA
Source: RNAcentral
GAGUUUUGAUCCUGGCUCAGGAUGAACGCUAGCGACAGGCCUAACACAUGCAAGUCGAGGGGCAACAUGGUAUCAGCUUGCUGAUACCGAUGGCGACCGGCGCACGGGUGAGUAACGCGUAUGUAAUCUACUUGUAACAGAGGGAUAACCCGGAGAAAUCCGGACUAAUACCUCAUAGCACAUAUUAUUCGCAUGAGUUUUAUGUUAAAGAGACUCGGUUACAGAUGAACAUGCGUUCCAUUAGCUGGUUGGCGGGGUCACGGCCCACCAAGGCGACGAUGGAUAGGGGUUCUGAGAGGAACGGUCCCCCACACUGGUACUGAGACACGGACCAGACUCCUACGGGAGGCAGCA